UGAGAAGAUCUGACAGAUGUACUCCUGGGUAUAGCGGGACCUGCUAAGCAGCGCCAUGAGAUGCGGUAUCACUGUGGCAUCCUGGAGUCAAAGGGAAGAAGAGCACAGCAACAAGGAACUCAAACACAACAAGAAUGUCUGAAGACUGAGGACCAAGAAGAGAUCCCUCUGGACAGAUUCCUGGCACAGAGGUCCUGAAACCUUGAAAUUUCCUGGGUGACAUCAAUGUCUUUACUUAUUCAUAAGGAACAUCUUUCAAGAGUUUUGCUAAUGAACGAUUAGGCUGGGGCCCCUAGAUAGCCUCAAGAUGGGACUGGUUACCCAAAAGACGAAGUGAUUAGAGGGCUGGAACUUUCAGUCCCAUCCACCAACCUCUGGGAAGUGGAAGAGUGGGAGGCUGGAGAUUAACGCUCUAUAAAAACUCUGAAUAAAACAUGAUUAAGUUUCCAGGUAAGUGAAUGGAUCCACCUGCCAGGAGGGUGGUGCACCCCAGUUCCACAUGGACAGAAGUUCCUGCACUUGGGACCUUUCUGGAUCUUGCCCUAUGUACCUCUUCACCUGGCUGUUCAUCUGAAUCUUUUAUAAGAUAAAUGUUUUGCUGAGCUUUGUGAACCAUUCUGACAAAUGACUGAAUUUGAGGAGGGAGCAGUGGGAACCCCUGAUUUAUAACUGGUCAGUCAGAGGACAGGAGAACAACCUGGACUUGCAACUGCUGUCUGAGGUGGGGGCAGUCUUGCAGGACUUAACCUGUGGAAUCUAACACUAUCUCCAAGUAAAUAGUGUCAGAAUUGAGUUAAAUUGUAGGACACCCAGCUAGUAUCCAUA
Lagenorhynchus albirostris (white-beaked dolphin) is the source of this 825-nucleotide long non-coding RNA. RefSeq lists it as uncharacterized. Lineage: Eukaryota; Metazoa; Chordata; Mammalia; Artiodactyla; Delphinidae. The transcript is spliced from 3 exons. The record is from RefSeq and is a predicted model, not a curated record.